Molecule: ribosomal RNA, 265 nt
Filed under: uncultured archaeon
Lineage: Archaea
Description: partial 16S ribosomal RNA
Rfam family: Archaeal small subunit ribosomal RNA
Source: RNAcentral
AGUCACUGACAUUAGAUACCCCUGUAGUCCCAGCCGUAAACAAUGUGCGUUAGGUGUGUCGGGUAACCACGCGUUACUGAUGCGCCGAAGAGAAAUCGUGAAACGCACCACCUGGGAAGUACGGUCGCAAGGCUGAGACUUAAAGGAAUUGGCGGGGAGCACCACAACAGGUGGAGCCUGCGGUUUAAUUGGAUUCAACGCCGGACAUCUCACCGGAUAAGACAGCUGAAUGAUUGUCAAUCUGAAGGUUUUACAUGACUAGCUG